Molecule: long non-coding RNA, 615 nt
Organism: Hibiscus syriacus
Lineage: Eukaryota; Viridiplantae; Streptophyta; Magnoliopsida; Malvales; Malvaceae
Exons: 2
Source: RefSeq, a predicted model, not a curated record
UUUUUGCCUAUAUUCUUUUUAGCUUUCACGCUCUCCCGUCUCCUGGCCGACUCUUCCAAAACCAAAACCCCUCUCUUUGAUGGCCAUAUAUCGGCCAAGAUUCUUUCAUUCCAGCCACCAACAGCGGUGGUCGAACUAGCCUAGACCCUCCAAAAAAGAAAUAAAACUUAACUUUUCCUACUCUUCCUCCUAAGAUCGAGACCCCAACUCACUCAAAAAAACCCUUUUUCUUUUAAAAUUUCAAACAAUAACCUUAAAAGGCUAAGUUUUUUUCCCCUUCAACCGGAACCUAUUUCGCACGGCCACAAAAGUAAAUCGGAGGGAUCUUAAGCUAUACUCGGAGAUAACGAGCGAACAGAGAGGGGCUGAUUGGUCGCGCAUGGGUCGUAUUAAAUGACCCUAGAUUUCUUGCGAUCUGUCUCGGCUCAUUUGAUAUCGGCUCGACGAUCGGCGCGGCUGGAGGAAGGAGUGGCUUUAGGAUGAAACCCUAAUUUUCUUUGAUCUGUACCGUUGAAUGGGUCCAGAUCUGAUGGCUAAUAGCACAUGACGGCUGGGGAAAAGUAGAAAACACUAUGGGUUCCAUCAUCUGGGCCAUACAUGGACUGCUCCAAAAAA